AAUGAACGUUGGCGGCGUGGAUUAGGCAUGCAAGUCGAGCGCUCAUAGCAAUAUGGGAGCGGCGAACGGCGUAGGAAUUCAUAGGAACGUACCCUCAGGACGGGGAUAGCUACGGGAAACUGUAGGUAAUACCCGAUGAUCUCCGCGGAGCAAAGGUGUGAUUCCGCCUGAGGAGCGGCUUAUGCGAUAUUAGCUAGUUGGUGGGGUAAUGGCCUACCAAGGCGACGAUGUCUAGGGGGUGUGAGAGCAUGGCCCCCACGACCGGAACUGAGAUACUGUCCGGACACCUACGGGUGGCUGCAGUCGAGAAUCUUCCGCAAUGGACGAAAGUCUGACGGAGCGACGCCGCGUGCGGGAUGAAGGCCCUUGGGUUGUAAACCGCUUUCGGAGGGGAUGAAAUCCUCGAGGGUUCUCCCUCGAGGUUGACAGAGCCUCAGAGGAAGCACGGGCUAAGUACGUG
Molecule: ribosomal RNA, 460 nt
Filed under: uncultured bacterium
Lineage: Bacteria
Description: bacterial SSU rRNA
Rfam family: Bacterial small subunit ribosomal RNA
Source: RNAcentral